GUAAACACAGAGGUUUUUUGGUAUGCUUAACCCGAUUCCAAUACUAGUUUCCUUUGAAGAAAUUCUUAAAUGCCCUAACCGCUCAAAUGGAGAUGGUCCCCGAACAGUUGAGCGCACUGUAUAUGAAUGUUAAGAAGUAAUUUUUCAAAUUCUGAAAAAUUAUCAGAAGUUAAUACAUACAUAAGACUCCAGAACAAACAGUCGUCAAAGAAAUGCAUAUCAUA
Caenorhabditis elegans is the source of this 224-nucleotide non-coding RNA. NCBI's taxonomy places the organism in Eukaryota, Metazoa, Nematoda, Chromadorea, Rhabditida, Rhabditidae. The record is from Ensembl.